This 1341-nucleotide ribosomal RNA is filed under the name Arthrobacter russicus. RNAcentral's name for it is "16S ribosomal RNA". It matches the Rfam family "Bacterial small subunit ribosomal RNA", at positions 32 to 1370 of the family's 1533-position model. Lineage: Bacteria; Bacillati; Actinomycetota; Actinomycetes; Micrococcales; Micrococcaceae. The record is from RNAcentral.
AACGCUGGCGGCGUGCUUAACACAUGCAAGUCGAACGAUGAACCUGUGCUUGCACGGGGGAUUAGUGGCGAACGGGUGAGUAACACGUGAGUAACCUGCCCUUGACUUCGGGAUAAGCCUGGGAAACUGGGUCUAAUACUGGAUACGACCUCUCAUCGCAUGGUGUGGGGGUGGAAAGUUUUUGCGGUUUUGGAUGGACUCGCGGCCUAUCAGCUUGUUGGUGAGGUAAUGGCUCACCAAGGCGACGACGGGUAGCCGGCCUGAGAGGGUGACCGGCCACACUGGGACUGAGACACGGCCCAGACUCCUACGGGAGGCAGCAGUGGGGAAUAUUGCACAAUGGGCGAAAGCCUGAUGCAGCGACGCCGCGUGAGGGAACGACGGCCUUCGGGUUGUAAACCUCUUUCAGUAGGGAACAAGGCAUCAUUUUUGUGGUGUUGAGGGUACUUGCAGAAGAAGCACCGGCUAACUACGUGCCAGCAGCCGCGGUAAUACGUAGGGUGCAAGCGUUAUCCGGAAUUAUUGGGCGUAAAGAGCUCGUAGGCGGUUUGUCGCGUCUGUCGUGAAAGUCCGGGGCUCAACUCCGGAUCUGCGGUGGGUACGGGCAGACUAGAGUGAUGUAGGGGAGACUGGAAUUCCUGGUGUAGCGGUGGAAUGCGCAGAUAUCAGGAGGAACACCGAUGGCGAAGGCAGGUCUCUGGGCAUUAACUGACGCUGAGGAGCGAAAGCAUGGGGAGCGAACAGGAUUAGAUACCCUGGUAGUCCAUGCCGUAAACGUUGGGCACUAGGUGUGGGGGACAUUCCACGUUUUCCGCGCCGUAGCUAACGCAUUAAGUGCCCCGCCUGGGGAGUACGGCCGCAAGGCUAAAACUCAAAGAAAUUGACGGGGGCCCGCACAAGCGGCGGAGCAUGCGGAUUAAUUCGAUGCAACGCGAAGAACCUUACCAAGGCUUGACAUGAACCGGAAAGGCGUAGAAAUACGUCCCCCACUUGUGGUCGGUUUACAGGUGGUGCAUGGUUGUCGUCAGCUCGUGUCGUGAGAUGUUGGGUUAAGUCCCGCAACGAGCGCAACCCUCGUUCUAUGUUGCCAGCACGUGAUGGUGGGGACUCAUAGGAGACUGCCGGGGUCAACUCGGAGGAAGGUGGGGAUGACGUCAAAUCAUCAUGCCCCUUAUGUCUUGGGCUUCACGCAUGCUACAAUGGCCGGUACAAAGGGUUGCGAUACUGUGAGGUGGAGCUAAUCCCAAAAAGCCGGUCUCAGUUCGGAUUGGGGUCUGCAACUCGACCCCAUGAAGUCGGAGUCGCUAGUAAUCGCAGAUCAGCAACGCUGCGGUGAAUACG